Molecule: ribosomal RNA, 328 nt
Filed under: uncultured eukaryote
Lineage: Eukaryota
Description: partial 18S ribosomal RNA
Rfam family: Eukaryotic small subunit ribosomal RNA
Source: RNAcentral
CCCUUAGAUGUCCUGGGCCGCACGCGCGUUACACUGAUGCAUUCAACGAGUUUAUAACCUUGGCCGAGAGGCCUGGGCAAUCUUGUUAACGUGCAUCGUGAUAGGGAUAGAUUAUUGAAAUUAUUAAUCUUGAACGAGGAAUUCCUAGUAAACGCAGAUCAUCAAUCUGCUUUGAUUACGUCCCUGCCCUUUGUACACACCGCCCGUCGCACCUACCGAUUGGAUGGUCCGGUGAAGCCUCGGGAUUGUGGUUCUUGCCGCUUUAUUGUGGCGUGACCGCGAGAACUUGUCUAAACCUUAUCAUCUAGAGGAAGGUGAAGUCGUAACA